GACGAACGCUGGCGGCGUGCUUAACACAUGCAAGUCGAGCGGUAAGGCCCUUUCGGGGGUACACGAGCGGCGAACGGGUGAGUAACACGUGGGUGACCUGCCCUCAGCUCUGGGAUAAGCCUGGGAAACCGGGUCUAAUACUGGAUAUGACUCCAUGACGCAUGUUGUGGGGUGGAAAGCCUUGUGCGGCUGAGGAUGGGCCCGCGGCCUAUCAGCUUGUUGGUGGGGUGANGGCCUACCAAGGCGACGACGGGUAGCCGGCCUGAGAGGGCGACCGGCCACACUGGGACUGAGACACGGCCCAGACUCCUACGGGAGGCAGCAGUGGGGAAUCUUGCGCAAUGGGCGAAAGCCUGACGCAGCGACGCCGCGUGAGGGAUGACGGCCUCG
This 390-nucleotide ribosomal RNA is filed under the name uncultured bacterium. Its description in RNAcentral is "bacterial SSU rRNA". It matches the Rfam family "Bacterial small subunit ribosomal RNA", at positions 28 to 419 of the family's 1533-position model. The record is from RNAcentral.